CGAGCAGGUGCGAAAGCAGGUCAUAGUGAUCCGGUGGUUCUGAAUGGAAGGGCCAUCGCUCAACGGAUAAAAGGUACUCCGGGGAUAACAGGCUGAUACCGCCCAAGAGUUCAUAUCGACGGCGGUGUUUGGCACCUCGAUGUCGGCUCAUCACAUCCUGGGGCUGAAGUAGGUCCCAAGGGUAUGGCUGUUCGCCAUUUAAAGUGGUACGCGAGCUGGGUUUAGAACGUCGUGAGACAGUUCGGUCCCUAUCUGCCGUGGGCGCUGGAGAACUGAGGGGGGCU
This 284-nucleotide ribosomal RNA is filed under the name Staphylococcus aureus. RNAcentral describes it as "partial 23S ribosomal RNA". It matches the Rfam family "Bacterial large subunit ribosomal RNA", at positions 2390 to 2673 of the family's 2925-position model. The record is from RNAcentral. Lineage: Bacteria; Bacillati; Bacillota; Bacilli; Caryophanales; Staphylococcaceae.